UACGUAGGGUGCAAGCGUUAAUCGGAAUUACUGGGCGUAAAGCGUGCGCAGGCGGUUAUGUAAGACAGGUGUGAAAUCCCCGGGCUUAACCUGGGAACUGCAUUUGUGACUGCAUAGCUAGAGUACGGCAGAGGGGGAUGGAAUUCCGCGUGUAGCGGUGAAAUGCGUAGAUAUGCGGAGGAACACCGAUGGCGAAGGCAAUCCCCUGGGCCUGUACUGACGCUCAUGCACGAAAGCGUGGGGAGCAAACAGG
This 253-nucleotide ribosomal RNA is filed under the name uncultured bacterium. Its description in RNAcentral is "partial 16S ribosomal RNA". It matches the Rfam family "Bacterial small subunit ribosomal RNA", at positions 524 to 776 of the family's 1533-position model. The record is from RNAcentral.